RNAcentral lists this transfer RNA (93 nucleotides) under Olavius algarvensis Delta 1 endosymbiont. Its description in RNAcentral is "tRNA-Ser-GCT". It matches the Rfam family "tRNA". From Rfam's summary of the family: Transfer RNA (tRNA) molecules are approximately 80 nucleotides in length. Their secondary structure includes four short double-helical elements and three loops (D, anti-codon, and T loops). Further hydrogen bonds mediate the characteristic L-shaped molecular structure. tRNAs have two regions of fundamental functional importance: the anti-codon, which is responsible for specific mRNA codon recognition, and the 3' end, to which the tRNAs corresponding amino acid is attached (by aminoacyl-tRNA synthetases). tRNAs cope with the degeneracy of the genetic code in two manners: having more than one tRNA (with a specific anti-codon) for a particular amino acid; and 'wobble' base-pairing, i.e. permitting non-standard base-pairing at the 3rd anti-codon position. The record is from RNAcentral. Lineage: Bacteria; Deltaproteobacteria. RNAcentral also lists the same sequence under 1 other name.
GGAGAGAUGGCCGAGUUGGCUGAAGGCGCUCGCCUGCUAAGCGAGUAUGGGGGUUAUACUCCAUCAUGGGUUCGAAUCCCAUUCUCUCCGCCA